CGCAGGCUUGCAGAGCGCUGGGUCGGGGCUCCAUCCUCAUGGUGGGGACAGCUCCACGAAGCCCUCGUUGGACAAAUGGCCACAGCAAAGCCAAGAGCAUAUCUCAAGCCAUCAAGAUGAAGCCUCAUGGGAGAUGUGUGCUUGCUAUUCCCUGGAGAACGAGGCACCACAUGGACUUACGCAACAGUUGCCUGGCGCUGGGCACAGGAAGUGGAGAUGAGACAGGAAUUACCAACACCCAGGCGGCUUUUAUAAGAAACAAAAACUGUCAUGGUGCCGGCCAGGGUCGGAGUAUGGGAGGCUGGAUGAGGCUUUCUCUGCGAAUCAGAGCAACGCUGACGUCGUGGGAGCAACUGCUCAGGGCGAGGGAGCAAAACUGCACCAGCCACUGCUGCUCCACACUUCACAGCCUGGGCCCCGAGAAAGGUGCUCAGGGGCCCACAUGCAGUGUGUGGCUGCCAUGGCCUUACCCAGUGACCCUGCUCUCGAGUUCUUUCCCUGGGCCACAGGUGACGAUUUUCUGCAGAAAUGACCAGAUGGGCCCGGGAAUUGCUGAAACAAUUACUUAUCCCAGAGGCACAGCCCGUGCACGGCUCUUGUCUUGAUUCUCCAGCAACAGUGGAGUUGGCCACAGACAGAGGCUACCCCUGGCACUCGCACUGCAUUUACCACAGGGAUUUCAACAGAAAUGGGGCACAAGUCGGAAUUUCACUUAGUCUUCCAA
Long non-coding RNA from Fukomys damarensis (Damara mole-rat), 724 nucleotides. RefSeq lists it as uncharacterized. NCBI's taxonomy places the organism in Eukaryota, Metazoa, Chordata, Mammalia, Rodentia, Bathyergidae. The record is from RefSeq and is a predicted model, not a curated record. The transcript is spliced from 4 exons.